GACGAACGCUGGCGGCGUGCUUAACACAUGCAAGUCGAACGGCAAGGCCCUGCUUUUGUGCGGUGCUCGAGUGGCGAACGGGUGAGUAACACGUGAGUAACCUGCCCUUGACUUUGGGAUAACUUCAGGAAACUGGGGCUAAUACCGGAUAGCAGCUCCUGCUGCAUGGUGGGGGUUGGAAAGUUUCGGCGGUUGGGGAUGGACUCGCGGCUUAUGAGCUUGUUGGUGGGGUAGUGGCUUACCAAGGCUUUGACGGGUAGCCGGCCUGAGAGGGUGACCGGCCACAUUGGGACUGAGAGACGGACCAGACUGCAAUGGUAGGCAGCAGUGGCGAGUAUUGUACAGUGGGAGGAAGCCUGAUGCAGCAACGCUGCGUGCGGGAUGACGGUCUUCGGGUUGUAAACCGCUUCCGCCUGUGACGAAGCGUGAGUGACGGUAAUGGGUAAAGAAGCACCGGCUAACUACGUG
RNAcentral lists this ribosomal RNA (468 nucleotides) under uncultured bacterium. Its description in RNAcentral is "partial 16S ribosomal RNA". It matches the Rfam family "Bacterial small subunit ribosomal RNA", at positions 28 to 507 of the family's 1533-position model. The record is from RNAcentral.